UGCGGGGUGGAGCAGCCUGGCAGCUCGUCGGGCUCAUAACCCGAAGGUCGCAGGUUCAAAUCCUGCCCCCGCUACCA
Molecule: transfer RNA, 77 nt
Filed under: Gammaproteobacteria bacterium
Lineage: Bacteria; Pseudomonadati; Pseudomonadota; Gammaproteobacteria
Also listed under: 3 other names
Description: tRNA-Met
Rfam family: tRNA
About the family: Transfer RNA (tRNA) molecules are approximately 80 nucleotides in length. Their secondary structure includes four short double-helical elements and three loops (D, anti-codon, and T loops). Further hydrogen bonds mediate the characteristic L-shaped molecular structure. tRNAs have two regions of fundamental functional importance: the anti-codon, which is responsible for specific mRNA codon recognition, and the 3' end, to which the tRNAs corresponding amino acid is attached (by aminoacyl-tRNA synthetases). tRNAs cope with the degeneracy of the genetic code in two manners: having more than one tRNA (with a specific anti-codon) for a particular amino acid; and 'wobble' base-pairing, i.e. permitting non-standard base-pairing at the 3rd anti-codon position.
Source: RNAcentral